GGUAAGUAGUCUUUUUCACUACCGACACUUGAAACAGCGCAUGGCCUUAUUUGAAUUGUACAAGUGCAUCGUACUAUAUAGAAAAAUUUCCUCAGUUGUGUUUGUGUGUCGAAGGAUGUGAACUGGAAUUGCUCAUCUUCUAUAUUAGCUUAGGCCUAUGGGUUGAGCUUACCAUAAGCUAACUGAACCAGAGGAUUCCACUUUGGCUCUUCCAAAGAAACCUCAAAAUUGACUUGCACACAGACCCUAGCUACAUUCUGAAUCUUGAUCGCACACAGUUCCCGACACCCGGGACACACGGGAUAGGAUCAUGGCAUGGGAGGGCUUACUUGCAAACAGGGGCAGAGAAGAUGGCGCCAUUGACUUGACCACCGGUGAGUGAGAGGAGAGGGGCACAGCCGGCAUUUCCUCCCGUCAGUUCAAACUCCACUAAGUACAGAUACAAGAAGAAAUUAAUACUCCUGUAUUUAUAGUAAUAGUAAGCUUAUAGUAUAGCCUUAACCACCACGCAAAACGGCCAGAAAAUGAGCAGACCAGAUCAAGUUGCCGGGCACUGUGCCGCAUAAAUCUCCACAAGGGAAAGGAGGAUCAGAGACUGCUACUGGUAGCAAAGCCCGAUCGAGAUCCCUUCC
Molecule: long non-coding RNA, 632 nt
Filed under: Sorghum bicolor (sorghum)
Lineage: Eukaryota; Viridiplantae; Streptophyta; Magnoliopsida; Poales; Poaceae
Description: long non-coding RNA (SBIC_LNC000311)
Source: RNAcentral